GACGAACCGUGCGAACGUUGUUCGGAAUCACUGGGCUUAAAGGGCGCGUAGGCGGGUGUGCAAGUCUGUGGUGAAAGCCUCCAGCUUAACUGGAGAAGUGCCAUGGAUACUGCACAUCUUGAGGAGGGUAGGGGCAUCUGGAACGGUCGGUGGAGCGGUGAAAUGCGUUGAUAUCAUCAGGAACACCAGUGGCGAAAGCGGCUUACUGGGUCUCUUCUGACGCUGAGGUACGAAAGCCAGGGGAGCGAAGGGG
Molecule: ribosomal RNA, 253 nt
Filed under: uncultured bacterium
Lineage: Bacteria
Description: partial 16S ribosomal RNA
Rfam family: Bacterial small subunit ribosomal RNA
Source: RNAcentral